UUGGUAUCUUAGUGGCGGACGGGUGAGUAACGCGUGGGUAACCUGCCUUACACUGGGGGAUAACACUUAGAAAUAGGUGCUAAUACCGCAUAACAGGGAAAGAUGCAUGUCUUUUCCUUGAAAACUCCGGUGGUGUAAGAUGGACCCGCGUCUGAUUAGCUGGUUGGCGGGGUAACGGCCCACCAAGGCGACGAUCAGUAGCCGGCCUGAGAGGGUGAACGGCCACAUUGGGACUGAGACACGGCCCAAACUCCUACGGAAGGCAGCAG
Molecule: ribosomal RNA, 269 nt
Filed under: uncultured bacterium
Lineage: Bacteria
Description: partial 16S ribosomal RNA
Rfam family: Bacterial small subunit ribosomal RNA
Source: RNAcentral